RNAcentral lists this long non-coding RNA (294 nucleotides) under Brassica napus (rape). RNAcentral's name for it is "long non-coding RNA (BNAP_LNC021049)". Lineage: Eukaryota; Viridiplantae; Streptophyta; Magnoliopsida; Brassicales; Brassicaceae. The record is from RNAcentral.
AUGGGAGUUUCUAAGAAUGAUAGAAGAAAGCUACUUCCGCCAAAGGUCUAGGAUCAACUGGCUGAGAGAAGAAGAUCAAAACACUACUGAUAGACUAUGGAUUUUACCCAUUUUCAUCCAUAGUGUAUAUGUGUUUUUACUAAUAAUUAUUAUAUUCUAGAGUCUAUUUAUUAUAUUUAUAUGAUCAUGAGUGAUUUGGAGAUAAGUGAUGAUUUUGGAGCAUUUUGGAGAUAUUUGGAGCAAGCACCCAAGAUAACAUCGAGCUCGACCAUCGGUCGAUAUUGGAGAAGAAUA